Molecule: unclassified non-coding RNA, 212 nt
Filed under: Hevea brasiliensis (rubber tree)
Lineage: Eukaryota; Viridiplantae; Streptophyta; Magnoliopsida; Malpighiales; Euphorbiaceae
Source: RNAcentral
GAAGAAGUGGGAGAAAAUGCAAGGGGCUGCAUUGGGCGGUGAAGAGAAGAUAUUGGUGUUGGUAAGGCUGAGGCCUCUUAGUGAAAAGGAAAUUUCAAGGAAUGAAGUUUCAGAUUGGGAAUGUAUCAAUGAGACCAGCAUCUUAUAUAGGAACAGUCUCCAGGAACGGUCUGGAUUGCCGACUGCUUAUACCUUUGACAGGGUGUAUAGAG